AGAGUUUGAUCAUGGCUCAGAAUCAACGCUGGCGGCGUGCCUAACACAUGCAAGUCGAACGCGAAAGGGGAGCAAUCCCUGAGUAGAGUGGCAAACGGGUGAGUAACACGUGGGUGACCUGCCUCAGAGUGGGGGAUAACGUCCCGAAAGGGACGCUAAUACCGCAUAACAUCCUGCCUUUGGAAAGGCGGAGAUCAAAGCCGGGGAUCGCAAGACCUGGCGCUUGGAGAGGGGCCCGCGUCUGAUUAGCUAGUUGGUAGGGUAAUGGCCUACCAAGGCAACGAUCAGUAUCCGGCCUGAGAGGGCGGACGGACACACUGGGACUGAGACACGGCCCAGACACCUACGGGAGGCAGCAGUGGGGAAUUGUUCGCAAUGGGCGCAAGCCUGACGACGCAACGCCGCGUGGAGGAUGAAGAUCUUCGGGUCGUAAACUCCUGUCGAGCGGGAAGAACACUUUCCGGGUGAACAAUCCGGGAGGCUGACGGUACCGCUAAAGGAAGCCCCGGCUAACUCCGUGCCAGCAGCCGCGGUAAUUC
RNAcentral lists this ribosomal RNA (539 nucleotides) under uncultured bacterium. Its description in RNAcentral is "bacterial SSU rRNA". It matches the Rfam family "Bacterial small subunit ribosomal RNA", at positions 8 to 526 of the family's 1533-position model. The record is from RNAcentral.